GGGGAAUCUUGCACAAUGGGCGAAAGCCUGAUGCAGCGACGCCGCGUGAGGGAUGAAGGCCCUAGGGUCGUAAACCUCUUUCAGUAGGGACGAAAAUGACGGUACCUACAGAAGAAGCCCCGGCCAACUACGUGCCAGCAGCCGCGGUAAGACGUAGGGGGCGAGCGUUGUCCGGAUUUAUUGGGCGUAAAGGGCUCGUAGGUGGUUGUGUAAGUCGGAUGUGAAAACUCGAGGCUCAACUUCGAGACGCCAUUCGAUACUGCACUGACUUGAGUCCGGUAGAGGAGUGUGGAAUUUCUAGUGUAGCGGUGGAAUGCGCAGAUAUUAGAAGGAACACCUAUUGCGAAGGCAGCACUCUGGGCCGGCACUGACACUGAGGAGCGAAAGCGUGGGUAGCAAAC
RNAcentral lists this ribosomal RNA (401 nucleotides) under uncultured bacterium. Its description in RNAcentral is "bacterial SSU rRNA". It matches the Rfam family "Bacterial small subunit ribosomal RNA", at positions 356 to 773 of the family's 1533-position model. The record is from RNAcentral.